This 589-nucleotide ribosomal RNA is filed under the name uncultured bacterium. Its description in RNAcentral is "partial 16S ribosomal RNA". It matches the Rfam family "Bacterial small subunit ribosomal RNA", at positions 355 to 1375 of the family's 1533-position model. The record is from RNAcentral.
UGGGGAAUUUUGGACAAUGGGCGAAAGCCUGAUCCAGCAAUGCCGCGUGUGUGAAGAAGGCCUUCGGGUUGUAAAGCACUUUUGUCCGGAAAGAAAUCCUUGGCUCUAAUACAGUCGGGGGAUGACGGUACCGGAAGAAUAAGCACCGGCUAACUACGUGCCAGCAGCCGCGGCAAUACGUAGGGUGCAAGCGUUAAUCGGAAUUACUGGGCGUAAAGCGUGCGCAGGCGGUUUGCUAAGACCGAUGUGAAAUCCCCGGGCUCAACCUGGGAACUGCAUUGGUGACUGGCAGGCUAGAGUAUGGCAGAGGGGGGUAGAAUUCCACGUGUAGCAGUGAAAUGCGUAGAGAUGUGGAGGAAUACCGAUGGCGAAGGCAGCCCCCUGGGCCAAAUACUGACGCUCAUGCACGAAAGCGUGGGGAGCAAAACAGGAUUAGAUACCCUGGUAGUCCACGCCCUAAAACGAUGUCAACUAGUUGUUGGGGAUUCAUUUCCUUAGUAACGUAGCUAACGCGUGAAGUUGACCGCCUGGGGAGUACGGUCGCAAGAUUAAAAACUUAAAGGAAUUGACGGGGUCAUAGCUGUUUCCU